CGUGAGUGGCGGACGGGUGGGUAACGCGUGGGUAACCUGCCUCAUACAGGGGGAUAACAGUUAGAAAUGACUGCUAAUACCGCAUAAGACCACAGCACCGCAUGGUGCAGGGGUAAAAACUCCGGUGGUAUGAGAUGGACCCGCGUCUGAUUAGGUAGUUGGUGGGGUAACGGCCUACCAAGCCGACGAUCAGUAGCCGACCUGAGAGGGUGACCGGCCACAUUGGGACUGAGACACGGCCCAA
This 244-nucleotide ribosomal RNA is filed under the name uncultured bacterium. RNAcentral describes it as "partial 16S ribosomal RNA". It matches the Rfam family "Bacterial small subunit ribosomal RNA", at positions 90 to 334 of the family's 1533-position model. The record is from RNAcentral.